CACGGGGGGAGCAAGCGUUGUUCGGAAUCACUGGGCGUAAAGGGCGUGUAGGCGGUCAGGUAAGUGGGAUGUGAAAUGCCCCGGCUCACCCGGGGACCGGCAUCCCAAACUGCUUGGCUUGAGUAUGGGAGAGGAUGAGGGAAUUCCUGGUGUAGCGGUGAAAUGCGUAGAUAUCUGGAGGAACACCGGUGGCGAAGGCGGCAUCCUGGACCGGUAUUGACGCUGAGGCGCGGAAGCCAGGGGAGCAAACGGG
Molecule: ribosomal RNA, 253 nt
Filed under: uncultured bacterium
Lineage: Bacteria
Description: partial 16S ribosomal RNA
Rfam family: Bacterial small subunit ribosomal RNA
Source: RNAcentral